This 253-nucleotide ribosomal RNA is filed under the name uncultured bacterium. RNAcentral's name for it is "partial 16S ribosomal RNA". It matches the Rfam family "Bacterial small subunit ribosomal RNA", at positions 524 to 776 of the family's 1533-position model. The record is from RNAcentral.
UACGGGGGGGGCAAGCGUUGUUCGGAAUUACUGGGCGUAAAGGGCUCGUAGGCGGCCAACUAAGUCAGACGUGAAAUCCCUCGGCUUAACCGGGGAACUGCGUCUGAUACUGGAUGGCUUGAGUUCGGGAGAGGGAUGCGGAAUUCCAGGUGUAGCGGUGAAAUGCGUUGAUAUCGGAAGGAACUCCGGCGGCGAAAGCGAUGCACUGGCUGAUUUCUGACGCUGAGGUGCGAAAGCCAGGGGAGCAAACGGG